Molecule: unclassified non-coding RNA, 400 nt
Filed under: soil metagenome
Description: partial contains 5.8S ribosomal RNA, internal transcribed spacer 2, and large subunit ribosomal RNA
Rfam family: 5.8S ribosomal RNA (bases 1-122)
Source: RNAcentral
GAUGAAGAACGUAGCGAAAUGCGAUACUUGGUGUGAAUUGCAGAAUCCCGUGAACCAUUGAGUCUUUGAACGCAAGUUGCGCCUCAAGCCAUUAGGUUGAGGGCACGUCUGCCUGGGCGUCACAUAUCGUUGCCUGAUGCCAGUUUCCUCGUGAUGGGUGACUGUGCAGGGCGAAUGAUGGCUUCCCGUGAGCAUUGUUGCCUCAUGGUUGGUUGAAAAUUGAGUCCUUGGUAGGGAGCGCCGUGAUAGAUGGUGGUUGAGUGACGAACGAGACCCAAUCAUGUGAGACCCCUACCGAAUUUGGCCUUCAUGACCCACAUGCGUCUUUGGAACGCUCAUGACGAGACCUCAGGUCAGGCGGGGCUACCCGCUGAGUUUAAGCAUAUCAAUAAGCGGAGGA